CAAAGGAUAGUUUAAAUUAAAAUUUUAAUUUUGGAGAUUAAUAAUAAGGAGAAUUUCCUUUCCUUUGA
Molecule: transfer RNA, 68 nt
Filed under: Paromalus flavicornis
Lineage: Eukaryota; Metazoa; Arthropoda; Insecta; Coleoptera; Histeridae
Description: tRNA-Pro
Source: RNAcentral